This 107-nucleotide small nuclear RNA is filed under the name Octodon degus (degu). Lineage: Eukaryota; Metazoa; Chordata; Mammalia; Rodentia; Octodontidae. The record is from RNAcentral.
GUGCUUGCUUCGCCAGCACAUAUACUAAAAUUGGAAUGAUACAGAGAAGAUUUGCAUGGCCCCUGUGCAAGGAUGACAUGCAAAUUCGUGAAGUGUUCCAUAUUUUU